GACGAACGCUGGCGGCAUGCCUAACACAUGCAAGUCGAGCGAGCUGAUUCCUUCGGGAUGAAGCUAGCGGUGGACGGGUGAGUAACACGUGGGCAACCUGCCUCAUAGAGGGGAAUAGCCUUCCGAAAGGAAGAUUAAUACCGCAUAAGAUUGCAUCUUCGCAUGAAGAAGCAAUUAAAGGAGCAAUCCGCUAUGAGAUGGGCCCGCGGCGCAUUAGCUAGUUGGUGAGGUAACGGCUCACCAAGGCGACGAUGCGUAGCCGACCUGAGAGGGUGAUCGGCCACAUUGGGACUGAGACACGGCCCAGACUCCUACGGGAGGCAGCAGUGGGGAAUAUUGCACAAUGGGGGAAACCCUGAUGCAGCAAUGCCGCGUGAGUGAUGACGGCCUUCGGGUUGUAAAGCUCUGUCUUCGGGGACGAUAAUGACGGUACCCGAGGAGGAAGCCACGGCUAACUACGUGCCAGCAGCCGCCGUAA
This 478-nucleotide ribosomal RNA is filed under the name uncultured bacterium. RNAcentral describes it as "partial 16S ribosomal RNA". It matches the Rfam family "Bacterial small subunit ribosomal RNA", at positions 28 to 523 of the family's 1533-position model. The record is from RNAcentral.